Molecule: ribosomal RNA, 230 nt
Filed under: uncultured bacterium
Lineage: Bacteria
Description: partial 16S ribosomal RNA
Rfam family: Bacterial small subunit ribosomal RNA
Source: RNAcentral
UACGUAGGCGGAAAAUUAAGUCAGUAGUGAAAUCCUGCAGCUUAACUGUAGAACUGUUAUUGAUACUGGUUUUCUUGAAUAUAGUUGAGGUAGGCGGAAUGUGUAAUGUAGCGGUGAAAUGCUUAGAUAUUACACAGAACACCGAUUGCGAAGGCAGCUUACUAAGCUAUGAUUGACGCUGAGGUACGAAAGCGUGGGGAGCGAACAGGAUUAGAUACCCUUGGUAGUCC